Molecule: ribosomal RNA, 788 nt
Filed under: Bacillus sp. T-31
Lineage: Bacteria; Bacillati; Bacillota; Bacilli; Caryophanales; Bacillaceae
Description: bacterial SSU rRNA
Rfam family: Bacterial small subunit ribosomal RNA
Source: RNAcentral
AUGUUGGCGCCGGACGGGUGAGUAACACGUGGGUAACCUGCCCAUAAGACUGGGAUAACUCCGGGAAACCGGGGCUAAUACCGGAUAACAUUUUGAACCGCAUGGUUCGAAAUUGAAAGGCGGCUUCGGCUGUCACUUAUGGAUGGACCCGCGUCGCAUUAGCUAGUUGGUGAGGUAACGGCUCACCAAGGCAACGAUGCGUAGCCGACCUGAGAGGGUGAUCGGCCACACUGGGACUGAGACACGGCCCAGACUCCUACGGGAGGCAGCAGUAGGGAAUCUUCCGCAAUGGACGAAAGUCUGACGGAACAACGCCGCGUGAGUGAUGAAGGCUUUCGGGUCGUAAAACUCUGUUGUUAGGGAAGAACAAGUGCUAGUUGAAUAAGCUGGCACCUUGACGGUACCUAACCAGAAAGCCACGGCUAACUACGUGCCAGCAGCCGCGGUAAUACGUAGGUGGCAAGCGUUAUCCGGAAUUAUUGGGCGUAAAGCGCGCGCAGGUGGUUUCUUAAGUCUGAUGUGAAAGCCCACGGCUCAACCGUGGAGGGUCAUUGGAAACUGGGAGACUUGAGUGCAGAAGAGGAAAGUGGAAUUCCAUGUGUAGCGGUGAAAUGCCUACAGAUAUGGAGGAACACCACUGGCGAAGGCGACUUUCUGGUCUGUAACUGACACUGAGGCGCGCAAGCGUGGAGAGCAAACAGAUUAGAUACCCUGGUAGUUCACGCGCGUUAACGAUGAGUGCUCAUUUGUAGAGGGUUUCCGCCCUUACUGUUCACGUUAGGCACUAA